Molecule: transfer RNA, 73 nt
Filed under: Mus musculus (house mouse)
Lineage: Eukaryota; Metazoa; Chordata; Mammalia; Rodentia; Muridae
Description: tRNA-Ser
Source: RNAcentral
GGUGAGGUGGCUCAGUGGUUAGGAGCACCUGACUGCUGUUCCGAAGGUCCUGAGUUCAAAUCCCCAGCAACCA